This 506-nucleotide ribosomal RNA is filed under the name uncultured bacterium. RNAcentral describes it as "partial 16S ribosomal RNA". It matches the Rfam family "Bacterial small subunit ribosomal RNA", at positions 355 to 876 of the family's 1533-position model. The record is from RNAcentral.
UGGGGAAUAUUGGACAAUGGGGGCAACCCUGAUCCAGCAAUGCCGCGUGUGUGAAGAAGGUCUUCGGAUUGUAAAGCACUUUCGACGGGGACGAUGAUGACGGUACCCGUAAAAGAAGCCCCGGCUAACUUCGUGCCAGCAGCCGCGGUAAUACGAAGGGGGCUAGCGUUGCUCGGAAUGACUGGGCGUAAAGGGCGUGUAGGCGGUUUACACAGUCAGAUGUGAAAUCCCCGGGCUUAACCUGGGAGCUGCAUUUGAUACGUGUAGACUAGAGUGUGAGAGAGGGUUGUGGAAUUCCCAGUGUAGAGGUGAAAUUCGUAGAUAUUGGGAAGAACACCGGUGGCGAAGGCGGCAACCUGGCUCAUGACUGACGCUGAGGCGCGAAAAGCGUGGGGAGCAAACAGGAUUAGAUACCCUGGUAGUCCACGCUGUAAACGAUGUGUGCUAGAUGUUGGGUAACUUUGUUAUUCAGUGUCGCAGUUAACGCGUUAAAGCACACCGCCUGG